UUGAGGUUUCAUCCCAUCUCGGGAUCCUCUCACACUUGCAUUGUUCACAAUGUUGCUUCGGCGGGGCGCGAGCAAUCGCCGCUGGCUCUCGAGCAAGCGAGUCUCUGCCGAAGGCCCCAACUCUUCCAAUCUUUGCAGUCAUGUCAAAACAAAAUGAAACA
Molecule: unclassified non-coding RNA, 161 nt
Filed under: uncultured fungus
Lineage: Eukaryota; Fungi
Description: sequence contains ITS1, 5.8S rRNA gene
Source: RNAcentral